UACGUAGGUGGCAAGCGUUGUCCGGAAUUAUUGGGCGUAAAGCGCGCGCAGGCGGUCCCUUAAGUCUGAUGUGAAAGCCCACGGCUCAACCGUGGAGGGUCGUUGGAAACUGGGGGACUUGAGUGCAGAAGAGGAAAGUGGAAUUCCAUGUGUAGCGGUGAAAUGCGUAGAGAUGUGGCGGAACACCAGUGGCGAAGGCGACUUUCUGGUCUGUAACUGACGCUGAGGCGCGAAAGCGUGGGGAGCAAACAGG
Molecule: ribosomal RNA, 253 nt
Filed under: uncultured bacterium
Lineage: Bacteria
Description: partial 16S ribosomal RNA
Rfam family: Bacterial small subunit ribosomal RNA
Source: RNAcentral